GCGAGCUGUCUGAUCUUGAAGAUGGACUUUAGAGGAUAAAAGCUUUCUGCUUGAGGCUAGAAAUUUGAUUAUCAUUUGCUGAUUUAUUGAGAAACAAUCUUUCACUAGCAAAGAGCGUUAAAAAAGAAUAAAGUUCUCACUAUGCAACUAAUAUUUCUUUUUCAGAGUUAUACUACUUGGAGGCUGGAAUAAGGGUGUAUUGUGGGCCGGCCCUAGCCCGGAACCGGCCCGGGCUCGCUUGCCAAAUGGUCCGGUUCA
This 258-nucleotide long non-coding RNA is filed under the name Nicotiana benthamiana. RNAcentral's name for it is "long non-coding RNA (NBEN_LNC016226)". The record is from RNAcentral. Lineage: Eukaryota; Viridiplantae; Streptophyta; Magnoliopsida; Solanales; Solanaceae.